GGCCUCCAGUGCUUACCACAGGCUGGAUUCUUAUACUGACUGUUCAGAAAGAGGAUGUAGAGUAAUUCACUCCAUAUUAGAAAGAAAAAAGGGAAAAAAGA
This 101-nucleotide small nucleolar RNA is filed under the name Catagonus wagneri (Chacoan peccary). Its description in RNAcentral is "Small nucleolar RNA SNORA51 (ENSCWAG00000007594.1)". It matches the Rfam family "Small nucleolar RNA SNORA51". Rfam says of the family: ACA51 is a member of the H/ACA class of snoRNA that guide the sites of modification of uridines to pseudouridines. Lineage: Eukaryota; Metazoa; Chordata; Mammalia; Artiodactyla; Tayassuidae. The record is from Rfam by way of RNAcentral.